UACGAAGGGGGCUAGCGUUGCUCGGAAUUACUGGGCGUAAAGCGCACGUAGGCGGACAUUUAAGUCAGGGGUGAAAUCCCAGAGCUCAACUCUGGAACUGCCUUUGAUACUGGGUGUCUAGAGUAUGGAAGAGGUGAGUGGAAUUCCGAGUGUAGAGGUGAAAUUCGUAGAUAUUCGGAGGAACACCAGUGGCGAAGGCGGCUCACUGGUCCAUUACUGACGCUGAGGUGCGAAAGCGUGGGGAGCAAACAGG
This 253-nucleotide ribosomal RNA is filed under the name uncultured bacterium. Its description in RNAcentral is "partial 16S ribosomal RNA". It matches the Rfam family "Bacterial small subunit ribosomal RNA", at positions 524 to 776 of the family's 1533-position model. The record is from RNAcentral.